Molecule: ribosomal RNA, 665 nt
Filed under: uncultured bacterium
Lineage: Bacteria
Description: bacterial SSU rRNA
Rfam family: Bacterial small subunit ribosomal RNA
Source: RNAcentral
UGGCGGCGUGCUUAGACAUGCAAGUCGUACGAGAAAGUCUCUUCGGAGAUGAGUAAAGUGGCGCACGGGUGAGUAACGCGUGGGUAAUCUGCCCUUAGGUUUGGGAUAACCCCGGGAAACCGGAGCUAAUACCGAAUGAGACCACGAUGACUUCGGUCGAUGUGGGAAAAGGUGGCCUCUUCUUGAAAGCUAUCGCCAAAGGAUGAGCCCGCGUUUGAUUAGCUAGUUGGUAAGGUAACGGCUUACCAAGGCGACGAUGGGUAGGGGUCCUGAGAGGGAGAUCCCCCACACUGGUACUGAGACACGGACCAGACUCCUACGGGAGGCAGCAGUGAGGAAUAUUGGUCAAUGGGCGCAAGCCUGAACCAGCCAUGCCGCGUGCAGGAUGACGGUCCUAUGGAUUGUAAACUGCUUUUAUACAGGAAGAAACACUCCCUCGUGAGGGAGCUUGACGGUACUGUAGGAAUAAGGAUCGGCUAACUCCGUGCCAGCAGCCGCGGUAAUACGGAGGAUCCAAGCGUUAUCCGGAAUCAUUGGGUUUAAAGGGUCCGUAGGCGGUCUAAUAAGUCAGUGGUGAAAUCCUUCCGUUAACGGGAGAACGGCAUUGAUACUGUUAGACUUGAAUUAUUAGGGAAGUAACUAGAAUAUGUAGUGUAGCGGGUGAA